GUAGGGAAUAUUGGGCAAUGGAAGCAAUUCUGACCCAGCCAUGCCGCGUGAAGGAAUACAGCCCUAUGGGUUUUAAACUUCUUUUAUUAUAGAGUAAACGGAGGUACGUGUACCUCCCUGCAAGUAUAUGAUGAAUAAGGAUCGGCUAACUCCGUGCCAGCAGCCGCGGUAAUACGGAGGAUCCGAGCGUUAUCAGGAUUUAUUGGGUUUAAAGGGUGCGCAGGCGGAUCAAUAAGUCAGGGGUGAAAAAUUUCAGCUUAACUGGAAUCGUGCCUUUGAUACUGUUGGACUAGAGUAUAAUUGACGUGACUGGAAUGUGAUGUGUAGCGGUGAAAUGCUUAGAUAUGUCACAGAACGCCAAUCGUGAAGACAGGUCACGAAAUUAUUACUGACGCUCAUGCACGAAAGCGUGGGGAUCAAACAGGAUUAGAUACCCCGGUAGUCC
This 445-nucleotide ribosomal RNA is filed under the name uncultured bacterium. Its description in RNAcentral is "partial 16S ribosomal RNA". It matches the Rfam family "Bacterial small subunit ribosomal RNA", at positions 354 to 796 of the family's 1533-position model. The record is from RNAcentral.